This 460-nucleotide ribosomal RNA is filed under the name uncultured bacterium. Its description in RNAcentral is "partial 16S ribosomal RNA". It matches the Rfam family "Bacterial small subunit ribosomal RNA", at positions 338 to 795 of the family's 1533-position model. The record is from RNAcentral.
CCUACGGGAGGCAGCAGUGAGGAAUAUUGGUCAAUGGCCGCAGGUCUGAACCAGCCAAGUCGCGUGAAGGAUGACUGUCCUAUGGGUUGUAAACCUCUUUUAUCAGGGAGUAAAGUGCUCCACGUGUGGCGCUUUGCGAGUACCUGAUGAAAAAGGAUCGGCUAACUCCGUGCCAGCAGCCGCGGUAAUACGGAGGGUCCGAGCGUUAUCCGGAUUUAUUGGGUUUAAAGGGUGCGCAGGCGGAUUGUUAAGUCAGGUGUGAAAGUUUGGGGCUCAACCGUAAUAUUGCAGUUGAAACUGGCAUUCUUGAGUAAGGGAGAGGUAGGCGGAAUGCGUGGUGUAGCGGUGAAAUGCUUAGAUAUCACGAAGAACUCCGAUUGCGAAGGCAGCUCACUGGACUGCAACUGACACUGAGGCACGAAAGUGUGGGUAUCAAACAGGAUUAGAUACCCGUGUAGUC